RNAcentral lists this long non-coding RNA (780 nucleotides) under Pan troglodytes (chimpanzee). Its description in RNAcentral is "lincRNA". Lineage: Eukaryota; Metazoa; Chordata; Mammalia; Primates; Hominidae. The record is from RNAcentral.
AUGGGAGAGACAGGCAAGCUGCAAAGGGAAGUCGACGAAAUAAAAUUAAAGCCCUACAAUCGUGUUCGUGUCAAUGUAGAUGGGGUGCCCCCCUCGGUUUGCUCACAGAGGUGGGUGUGAGAUCCUACAGGACGGUCUGGAAGACAUCCCAUGGAAGGCACUUUAUUUUGCCCAGAAGCUGGAGGAAAAGCAGAAGAGUGCUGAUUGGUGCAUUUACAAUCCUUUAGCUAGACACAGAGCACUGAUUGUAGCGUUUUUACACAGUGCUGAUUGGUGCAUUUACAAUCCUUUAGCUAGACAGAAAAGUUCUUCAAGUCCCCACUUGACCCAGAAAGUCCAGCUGGCUUCACCUCUUAAAACUACUCCACCUAAGGUUUUUAGAUCAAAAAGAAUUGUACUCAAGGAAUUGAAGCUAUGGAGCCUCUGCCACAUCUGGACCUGAUUUUGAUGACAAGAUCCUGUACCUCAAGCCCGAGACUAAUUUCAUAAUUUGAUGAAUCUUUUUGGAGAGUCAUGGGAGGAAUGUAAACAAUUUGUGGCCAAAGGAGAAUUAUGGUAGUUUGAAGAUGUGGAUACAAAUUAUUUGACAUUCUUCUCAUAGAAAGGUAACUCCAUAGCUGGGAGCCAAGUCUCGAAGCCCCAUGAGGGGAAGUGGAUACAUCUCAGAAUUGGGUUUCCUGAUACACACGACUGCAUCCUUCAUCUGCCAGGCCCUGGCAUUGUUUACUGGAGAAGAUGUCAUAGGAAAUUGGGCUAUGUCAUUGAGCCACUGGAGUCACA